GACGAACGCUGGCGGCGUGCUUAACACAUGCAAGUCGAACGGAAAGGCCCUGCUUGCAGGGUACUCGAGUGGCGAACGGGUGAGUAACACGUGGGUGAUCUGCCCUGCACUUCGGGAUAAGCCUGGGAAACUGGGUCUAAUACCGGAUAGGAGCCAUCUUUAGUGUGAUGGUUGGAAAGUUUUUUCGGUGUAGGAUGAGCUCGCGGCCUAUCAGCUUGUUGGUGGGGUAAUGGCCUACCAAGGCGGCGACGGGUAGCCGGCCUGAGGGGGUGGACGGCCACAAUGGGGCUGGGAUGCGGCCCAGACUCCCACGGGAGGCAGCAGUGGGGAAUGUUGCACAAUGGGCGGAAGCCUGAUGCAGCGAAGCCGCGUGGGGGAUGACGGCCUUCGGGUUGUAAACACCUUUCGCUAGGGACGAAGCGUUGUGUGACGGUACCUAGAUAAGAAGCACCGGCUAACUACGUG
Molecule: ribosomal RNA, 465 nt
Filed under: uncultured bacterium
Lineage: Bacteria
Description: partial 16S ribosomal RNA
Rfam family: Bacterial small subunit ribosomal RNA
Source: RNAcentral